UCUUUCUAACUCAAUUCCCCGCGUGGUGUAUUUCUACAGAGUCAGUGGUGGAGAGCAUGAGCAGCCGCCAGGAUGAGGAGGCUGCAGAAUCUUGCUUUGGAAACCUAGGAUCUUGCUUCAGGAGUCUGAGGGCAAUUUUGUUCUUUACCACCUUGGCUGGAAUAAUCCCAUGGUGGCCACACAACAGGGUGCACCCUGCCAAUGAGCCAGAUGAAGCAACCCUCGAUGAUGUUGUGGAGGCCGGCGGGAGUGAGAAGACGGAGGAAGAGGCCCUGGCUGGGGCAAAUGAGGAGGAGGUGGGGCCGGGAACUGAGAAGGUGCAGGAGGAGGCUGCCUGCAUUGACGAGGCAGAGGAGGAGGCAGGCCCAUCCCUUGAAAAUGACGAGGAGUCCCCAGCCAGCGACCUGGUUGAGCAGGAAGACCAGCUUGCCCCCAAGGUGGACGGGAUGGACGAUGAAAGCCUAUGUUUCAUGGAGAGUCUGAGUGACAGCAACCAUGAUGAAAGUGAUACAGACUCAGUGGUGGAGAGCCUGAGCAGCCGCCAGGAUGAGGAGGCUGCAGCAACCCUCGAUGAUGUUGUGGAGGCCGGCGGGAGUGAGAAGACGGAGGAAGAGGCCCUGGCUGGGGCAAAUGAGGAGGAGGUGGGGCCGGGAACUGAGAAGGUGCAGGAGGAGGCUGCCUGCAUUGACGAGGCAGAGGAGGAGGCAGGCCCAUCCCUUGAAAAUGACGAGGAGUCCCCAGCCAGCGACCUGGUUGAGCAGGAAGACCAGCUUGCCCCCAAGGUGGACGGGAUGGACGAUGAAAGCCCAGUGGGAUUGCAGGGUCCUGCCGUGGUGUUUCCCGUCCUGGCUGGCCCCGUUGACAUUCCCUGCUACAGUGUCCAGAAGUCCCAGGCAGUCACAUCUUCCCAAACAUCUGUUCAGUAUGUUUCAUGGAGAGUCUGAGUGACAGCAACCAUGAUGAAAGUGAUACAGACUCAGUGGUGGAGAGCCUGAGCAGCCGCCAGGAUGAGGAGGCUGCAGACUCCUCUGGGACACCUUGAAGCCUCAGCCUGGGACUGGAAGAGUCCAAAAGUUUCCAUCUUGACCAGGAUACAAGAUUGACCUCACUCUUCAUCUAUUACGAGCCAACUUUAGUAUAAGCUUAGUUCUUUAUUGUCUAGAUUUAGUAUUAAGUUCUGAUACAUGUUUACUACUUGGUAUAUAAGAUUUUGGUAGAAUGUAAGAUUGUGUAUUAAAUAAUUGUUACCUAUCCAUUUGCUUUUUUUAAAACUAGUUUUCGAUAAAAUAAACACAGGUAUAGGAAAGCCCCCUUAAGCAGAGGUAGAACUUAAUGCACUGGAGUCAGGCAGUCACCCUAGUGUCCACCCCCUGUCCUGUCACCCGCAUCAGUCCUGACUGAAGAAGGGGACUGUGGAUUUAGUCCUGACCAACUGCCCUCAAGCCAGUUUCUUUCCAAGGAUUCUGUGGCCUCAUGUCGGUUUGUACCUUUGACCAUGGGAACUCUGUCACGCUCCCUCUUUCAGGAUGACAUGGUUGGCCGAGCCUUGCAUGCCCAGACCCUGGCUGCUGGAACAUCCAUAUCUCACCUUUUCCCUCCUCAUGUCUCUGACAUGUUUCUUUAUAUCCCAUGCCUGGAGUUGGUAUUUUUAAAACAUGUAGAGUGACACCGAAUGAGACACAGAUAAAAACUGUAAAAGUAAUUUUAAUAAAGUACACUUUGAUUGCAAA
This is a non-coding RNA of Sus scrofa (pig), 1730 nucleotides long. The record is from RefSeq and is a predicted model, not a curated record. Lineage: Eukaryota; Metazoa; Chordata; Mammalia; Artiodactyla; Suidae.